UACAGAGGGUGCGAGCGUUGUUCGGAAUUAUUGGGCGUAAAGCGCUUGUAGGUGGCCCUGAAAGUCGCGUGUGAAAGCCCCAGGCUCAACCUGGGAAGUGCGCGCGAAACUGCAGGGCUUGAGUGCCGGAGAGGGUGGCGGAAUUCCCGGUGUAGAGGUGAAAUUCGUAGAUAUCGGGAGGAACACCAGAGGCGAAGGCGGCCACCUGGAAGGCAACUGACACUGAGAAGCGAAAGCGUGGGGAGCAAACAGG
Molecule: ribosomal RNA, 253 nt
Filed under: uncultured bacterium
Lineage: Bacteria
Description: partial 16S ribosomal RNA
Rfam family: Bacterial small subunit ribosomal RNA
Source: RNAcentral